This 468-nucleotide ribosomal RNA is filed under the name uncultured bacterium. Its description in RNAcentral is "partial 16S ribosomal RNA". It matches the Rfam family "Bacterial small subunit ribosomal RNA", at positions 28 to 507 of the family's 1533-position model. The record is from RNAcentral.
GACGAACGCUGGCGGCGUGCUUAACACAUGCAAGUCGAACAGAAAGGCCCUGCUUUUGUGGGGUGCUCGAGUGGCGAACGGGUGAGUAACACGUGAGUAACCUGCCCUUGACUUUGGGAUAACUUCAGGAAACUGGGGCUAAUACCGGAUAGGAGCUCCUGCUGCAUGGUGGGGGUUGGAAAGUUUCGGCGGUUGGGGAUGGACUCGCGGCUUAUCAGCUUGUUGGUGGGGUAGUGGCUUACCAAGGCUUUGACGGGUAGCCGGCCUGAGAGGGUGACCGGCCACGUUGGGACUGAGAUGCGGCCCAGACUCCUACGGGAGGCAGCAGUGGGGAAUAUUGCACAAUGGGCGGAAGCCUGAUGCAGCAACGCCGCGUGCGGGAUGACGGCCUUCGGGUUGUAAACCGCUUUCGCCUGAGACGAAGCGUGAGUGACGGUAAUGGGUAAAGAAGCACCGGCUAACUACGUG